GACGAACGCUGGCGGCGUGCUUAACACAUGCAAGUCGAACGGAAAGUCCCUGCUUUUGUGGGGUGCUCGAGUUGCGAACGGGUGAGUAACACUUGAGUAACCUGCCAUUGACUUUGGGAUAACUUCAGGAAACUGGGGCUAAUACCGGCUAGGAGCUCCCGCUGCAUGGUGGGGGUUGGAAAGUUUCGGCGGUUGGGGUUGGACUGGCGGCCUAUCAGCUUGUUGGUGGGGUAGUGGCUUACCAAGGCUUUGAAGGGUAGCCGGCCUGCGAGGGUGACCGGCCACAUUGGGACGGAGAUACGGCCCAGACUCCUACGGGAGGCAGCAGUGGAGAAUGUAGCACAAUGGGCGGAAGCCUGAUGCAGCAACGCCGCGUGCGGGAUGACGGCCUUCGGGUAGUAAACCACUUUCGCCUGUGACGAAGCGUGAGUGACGGUAAUGGGUAAAGAAGCACCGGCUAACUACGUG
RNAcentral lists this ribosomal RNA (468 nucleotides) under uncultured bacterium. RNAcentral describes it as "partial 16S ribosomal RNA". It matches the Rfam family "Bacterial small subunit ribosomal RNA", at positions 28 to 507 of the family's 1533-position model. The record is from RNAcentral.